Molecule: ribosomal RNA, 644 nt
Filed under: uncultured actinomycete
Lineage: Bacteria; Bacillati; Actinomycetota; Actinomycetes; Actinomycetales
Description: bacterial SSU rRNA
Rfam family: Bacterial small subunit ribosomal RNA
Source: RNAcentral
CGCGGCCUAUCAGCUUGUUGGUGGAGUAACGGCCCACCAAGGCGACGACGGGUAGCCGACCUGAGAGGGUGACCGGCCACACUGGGACUGAGACACGGCCCAGACUCCUACGGGAGGCAGCAGUAGGGAAUCUUGCGCAAUGGACGAAAGUCUGACGCAGCGACGCCGCGUGCGGGAUGAAGGCCUUCGGGUUGUAAACCGCUUUCAGUGGGGAAGAAGCGAAAGUGACGGUACCCACAGAAGAAGCCCCGGCCAACUACGUGCCAGCAGCCGCGGUAAUACGUAGGGGGCAAGCGUUGUCCGGAAUCAUUGGGCGUAAAGAGCUCGUAGGCGGUUUUGGAAGUCGGGUGUGAAAGCCCGGGGCUCAACCCCGGGAUGCCAUUCGAUACUCCAAUGACUAGAGUCCGGUAGAGGAAAGUGGAAUUCCUGGUGUAGCGGUGAAAUGCACAGAUAUCAGGAGGAAUACCGGUGGCGAAGGCGGCUUUCUGGGCCGGUACUGACGCUGAGGAGCGAAAGCUAGGGGAGCGAACAGGAUUAGAUACCCUGGUAGUCCUAGCCGUAAACGAUGGGCACUAGGUGUGGGGUGUUAUCCAUGCAUUCCGUGCCGUAGCUAACGUAUUAAGUGCCCCGCCUGGGGAGUACGG